This 71-nucleotide transfer RNA is filed under the name Camelus bactrianus (Bactrian camel). It matches the Rfam family "tRNA". From Rfam's summary of the family: Transfer RNA (tRNA) molecules are approximately 80 nucleotides in length. Their secondary structure includes four short double-helical elements and three loops (D, anti-codon, and T loops). The record is from Rfam by way of RNAcentral. RNAcentral also lists the same sequence under 3 other names. Lineage: Eukaryota; Metazoa; Chordata; Mammalia; Artiodactyla; Camelidae.
GAGGGUAUAGCUCAGUAGUAGAGUGCCUGCUUAGCAUGCACAAGGUCCUGGGUUCAAUCUCCAGGACCUCA